GUACCCAAUUCUAUUUGAGUAAGAUGUUCUUUCAUCUUUUGCUUCUGUUGUCAUGCAUUUUGAUGGGAACGGGGUUUAAGGGCUACUUGGAGGGGUAAUCAGAUGGUAGUAGUCGCCCCCUUCUCUUUUUAACCUUGUUCAGAACUCUCAUAGUGGAUUUUGUUGCUCUUGCACACCUGACCAUUUUUUUUCCUUUGAUCCUUUUUUU
RNAcentral lists this unclassified non-coding RNA (208 nucleotides) under Hevea brasiliensis (rubber tree). The record is from RNAcentral. Lineage: Eukaryota; Viridiplantae; Streptophyta; Magnoliopsida; Malpighiales; Euphorbiaceae.